AUGCAAAUGCUGCCGGAGACGAGGGGGCACCGGAGCAGCGGCGUCGGAGGCGGCGGCGCCGGGGCGGGAGGGAGGGCGGACGCGGCGGCGCAGGGGCACUACCGCGGGGUGCGGAAGCGGCCGUGGGGCCGGUACGCGGCGGAGAUCCGGGACCCGUGGAAGAAGACGCGGGUGUGGCUCGGCACCUACGACACCGCCGUCGACGCCGCGCUCGCCUACGACCGCGCCGCCGUCGCGCUGCGCGGGCCCAAGGCCAGGACCAACUUCGCCGGCGGCCACCUCGCCCCGCACCAGCAGCAGCAGGCGUGCCUCCUGGCUCCCCGGCCGCCGGCGCGGCCCUUCGGCGGGCGCCUCGACGUCGCCCACCCGUCCCCCUGGCACUUCGUCUACUUCCCGUCCAGGCUGCAGGAGUUCCUCGCGCAGCCGCUGCCGGCGGGUGACGCGAGGGACGCCGCCCCGUCGCCGCCGUCCACGGUGCUGGAGCUCCGGACGGGGCCCAGCAGCUGCCCCCAGUUCGACCUCAACGAGCCGCCGUCGCUCAUGUUUGGGUCGUGA
Molecule: ribosomal RNA, 555 nt
Filed under: Triticum aestivum (bread wheat)
Lineage: Eukaryota; Viridiplantae; Streptophyta; Magnoliopsida; Poales; Poaceae
Description: partial small subunit ribosomal RNA
Source: RNAcentral